RNAcentral lists this ribosomal RNA (574 nucleotides) under uncultured fungus. RNAcentral describes it as "eukaryotic LSU rRNA". The stretch from base 209 to 362 matches the Rfam family "5.8S ribosomal RNA". Lineage: Eukaryota; Fungi. The record is from RNAcentral.
CUUGGUCAUUUAGAGGAAGUAAAAGUCGUAACAAGGUUUCCGUAGGUGAACCUGCGGAAGGAUCAUUAUCGUGGGGCUUCGGCCCUCUCGAGAUAGAACCCUUGCCUUUUUGAGUACCUUCGUUUCCUCGGCAGGCUCGCCUGCCAAUGGGGACCCCAAUAAACCCUUUGUAAGCCUGUAAUCGUCUGACAAAACAAACAAAAAUUAAAACUUUCAACAACGGAUCUCUUGGUUCUGGCAUCGAUGAAGAACGCAGCGAAAUGCGAUAAGUAGUGUGAAUUGCAGAAUUCAGUGAAUCAUCGAAUCUUUGAACGCACAUUGCGCCCUAUGGUAUUCCGUAGGGCAUGCCUGUUCGAGCGUCAUUCAAACCUUCAAGCUCUGCUUGGUGUUGGGCGUCUGUCCUGCCUCACGGCGCGGACUCGCCUCAAAUCUAUUGGCGGCCGGCACGUUGGCUUCAGCGCAGCAGAAACGCGCUCGAGACCGGCGGAUCGGCUCCCAGAAGCUACCCCCAUGAAUUUGACCUCGGAUCAGGUAGGGAUACCCGCUGAACUUAAGCAUAUCAAUAAGCGGAGGA